This 77-nucleotide transfer RNA is filed under the name Nostoc sp. Its description in RNAcentral is "tRNA-Ala". It matches the Rfam family "tRNA". From Rfam's summary of the family: Transfer RNA (tRNA) molecules are approximately 80 nucleotides in length. Their secondary structure includes four short double-helical elements and three loops (D, anti-codon, and T loops). Lineage: Bacteria; Bacillati; Cyanobacteriota; Cyanophyceae; Nostocales; Nostocaceae. The record is from RNAcentral. RNAcentral also lists the same sequence under 7 other names.
GGGUCUGUAGCUUAAUUGGUAAAGCGUCUAACUGGCUGUUAGAAAGUUGUCGGUUCAAUUCCGACCAGUAUCCACCA